GUUUAUUCACAGCACAAACAGAUGGUCAACGAAACCAAUUAACCUUUCCCGAUCUCUCUUUCAGGCUUUCCACGUUCUCAGAGUCUACGGACAAAUGAACACAAACCACCGGGAGACGUCCUGCCAGAGUGAGAUGAAUAGGACGGCCGGCGGGCGCGCACUGCUGGGCACAGACCCAGGCUCGGUGCUGAGGGGGACCACUGCUGACCCACCAGAUACUGAAUUCCAGCUGAGAGAAGAGAGAUGGUGGACAAAUUACCAAUGUUCAAUUGCAGUGCCAGGUUUUGGCCAGAAUGACACCUGUGUAGCCCUGUAAGCGCUCUGCGGAUGCACAUGAGGAUGGGACUCUCCCUGCAGCAUCUCUGUCUUGUUUGGUGUGAGCUGAAUCCUGGCAUGACUGAGCUGUAUUUUUGAAUUCCACAUUGGGGUUGCAGGCUGCUUAGGCUGCAGGUUUUUUGCCAUGACGUUCCCAACAGUCUGUGACUAUGCAGUAGUGCACAGCGUUAUCCCUUGAGCACUGCCUUAGG
This 527-nucleotide long non-coding RNA is filed under the name Numida meleagris (helmeted guineafowl). RNAcentral describes it as "lncRNA (ENSNMEG00000020480.1)". Lineage: Eukaryota; Metazoa; Chordata; Aves; Galliformes; Numididae. The record is from RNAcentral.